UGCAGUCGACGAUGAGCUGGAGCUUGCUCCAGGGAUUAGUGGCGAACGGGUGAGUAACACGUGAGUAACCUGCCCUUGACUCUGGGAUAAGCGCUAGAAAUGGCGUCUAAUACCGGAUACGAGCUUCAGCCGCAUGGCUAGGAGUUGGAAAGAAUUUUGGUCAAGGAUGGACUCGCGGCCUAUCAGCUAGUUGGUGAGGUAAUGGCUCACCAAGGCGACGACGGGUAGCCGGCCUGAGAGGGUGACCGGCCACACUGGGACUGAGACACGGCCCAGACUCCUACGGGAGGCAGCAGUGGGGAAUAUUGCACAAUGGGCGAAAGCUUGAUGCAGCAACGCCGCGUGAGGGAUGACGGCCUUCGGGUUGUAAACCUCUUUUAGUAGGGAAGAAGCGAAAGUGACGGUACCUGCAGAAAAAGCACCGGCUAACUACGUGCCAGCAGCCGCGGUAAUACGUAGGGUGCAAGCGUUGUCCGGAAUUAUUGGGCGUAAAGAGCUCGUAGGCGGUUUGUCGCGUCUGCUGUGAAAUCUGGGGGCUCAACCCCCAGCCUGCAGUGGGUACGGGCAGACUAGAGUGCGGUAGGGGAGAUUGGAAUUCCUGGUGUAGCGGUGGAAUGCGCAGAUAUCAGGAGGAACACCGAUGGCGAAGGCAGAUCUCUGGGCCGUAACUGACGCUGAGGAGCGAAAGCAUGGGGAGCGAACAGGAUUAGAUACCCUGGUAGUCCAUGCCGUAAACGUUGGGAACUAGAUGUGGGGGCCAUUCCACGGUCUCCGUGUCGCAGCUAACGCAUUAAGUUCCCCGCCUGGGGAGUACGGCCGCAAGGCUAAAACUCAAAGGAAUUGACGGGGGCCCGCACAAGCGGCGGAGCAUGCGGAUUAAUUCGAUGCAACGCGAGAACCUUACCAAGGCUUGACAUAUACCGGAAACGUCCA
RNAcentral lists this ribosomal RNA (933 nucleotides) under Frigoribacterium sp. RNAcentral's name for it is "bacterial SSU rRNA". It matches the Rfam family "Bacterial small subunit ribosomal RNA", at positions 56 to 1002 of the family's 1533-position model. The record is from RNAcentral. Lineage: Bacteria; Bacillati; Actinomycetota; Actinomycetes; Micrococcales; Microbacteriaceae.